UCAGCAGCCGCGGUAAUACGUAGGUGGCGAGCGUUGUCCGGAAUUAUUGGGCGUAAAGGGCGCGUAGGCGGUUACUUAAGUCAGGUGUGAAAGCCCCCGGCUCAACUGGGGAGCGUCAUUUGAUACUGGGUGACUAGAGUGCAGGAGAGGAAAGUGGAAUUCCAUGUGUAGCGGUGAAAUGCGUAGAUAUAUGGAGGAACACCAGUGGCGAAGGCGGCUUUCUGGACUGCAACUGACGCUGAGGCGCGAAAGCUGGGGGAGCGAACGGGAUUAGAUACCCCGGUAGUCCCAGCCGUAAACGAUGGAUGCUAGGUGUGGGGGGUAUCGACCCCUUCCGUGCCGCAGUCAACACAAUAAGCAUCCCGCCUGGGGAGUACGGCCGCAAGGUUGAAACUCAAAGGAAUUGACGGGGGCCCGCACAAGC
This 424-nucleotide ribosomal RNA is filed under the name uncultured bacterium. Its description in RNAcentral is "bacterial SSU rRNA". It matches the Rfam family "Bacterial small subunit ribosomal RNA", at positions 508 to 930 of the family's 1533-position model. The record is from RNAcentral.